AGAGUUUGAUCCUGGCUCAGAUUGAACGCUGGCGGCAUGCCUUACACAUGCAAGUCGAACGGCAGCACGGGAGCAAUCCUGGUGGCGAGUGGCGAACGGGUGAGUAAUAUAUCGGAACGUGCCCAGUCGUGGGGGAUAACGCAGCGAAAGCUGUGCUAAUACCGCAUACGAUCUCUGGAUGAGAGCGGGGGACUCGCAAGGGCCUCGCGCGAUUGGAGCGGCCGAUAUCAGAUUAGCUAGUUGGUGGGGUAAAAGCCCACCGAGGCGACGAUCUGUAGCUGGUCUGAGAGGACGACCAGCCACACUGGAACUGAGACACGGUCCAGACUCCUACGGGAGGCAGCAGUGGGGAAUUUUGGUCAAUGGGCGCAAGCCUGAUCCAGCAAUGCCGCGUGCAGGAUGAAGGCCUUCGGGUUGUAAACU
This 423-nucleotide ribosomal RNA is filed under the name uncultured bacterium. RNAcentral describes it as "bacterial SSU rRNA". It matches the Rfam family "Bacterial small subunit ribosomal RNA", at positions 8 to 431 of the family's 1533-position model. The record is from RNAcentral.